GACGAACGCUGGCGGCGUGCUUAACACAUGCAAGUCGAACGGAAAGGCCCUGCUUUUGUGGGGUGCUCGAGUGGCGAACGGGUGAGUAACACGUGAGUAACCUGCCCUUGACUUUGGGAUAACUUCAGGAAACUGGGGCUAAUACCGGAUAGGAGCUCCUGCUGCAUGGUGGGGGUUGGAAAGUUUCGGCGGUUGGGGAUGGACUCGCGGCUUAUCAGCUUGUUGGUGGGGUAGUGGCUUACCAAGGCUUUGACGGGUAGCCGGCCUGAGAGGGUGACCGGCACCAUUGGGCCUGGGAUACGGCCCAGACUCCUACGGGAGGAAGCAGUGGGAAAUAUGGCACAAUGGGCGAAAGCCUGAUGAGGCAAGGCCGGGGGCGGGAUGACGGCCUUCGGGUUGAAAACCGCUUUCGCCUGUGACGAAGCGUGAGUGACGGUAAUGGGUAAAGAAGCACCGGCUAACUACGUG
Molecule: ribosomal RNA, 468 nt
Filed under: uncultured bacterium
Lineage: Bacteria
Description: partial 16S ribosomal RNA
Rfam family: Bacterial small subunit ribosomal RNA
Source: RNAcentral